Molecule: ribosomal RNA, 380 nt
Filed under: uncultured prokaryote
Description: bacterial SSU rRNA
Rfam family: Archaeal small subunit ribosomal RNA
Source: RNAcentral
GCGAAAACUUUACAAUGCGGGAAACCGUGAUAGGGGAACUCCGAGUGCCCGUUAAAUCGGGCUGUCCACCAGUUUAAAUAACUGGUGAAGAAAGGGCCGGGCAAGACCGGUGCCAGCCGCCGCGGUAAUACCGGCGGCUCGAGUGGUGGCCACUAUUACUGGGCUUAAAGCGUUCGUAGCUGGUUUGUUAAGUCUCUGGGGAAAUCUUCCGGCUUAACCGGAAGGCGUCUCAGGGAUACUGGCAGACUAGGGACCGGAAGAGGUGAGAGGUACUUCAGGGGUAGGAGUGAAAUCCUGUAAUCCUUGAGGGACCACCAGUGGCGAAGGCGUCUCACCAGGACGGACCUGACGGCAAGGGACGAAAGCUAGGGGCACGAACC